RNAcentral lists this ribosomal RNA (793 nucleotides) under Curtobacterium sp. RNAcentral describes it as "bacterial SSU rRNA". It matches the Rfam family "Bacterial small subunit ribosomal RNA", at positions 59 to 862 of the family's 1533-position model. The record is from RNAcentral. Lineage: Bacteria; Bacillati; Actinomycetota; Actinomycetes; Micrococcales; Microbacteriaceae.
AAGUCGAACGAUGAUGCCCAGCUUGCUGGGUGGAUUAGUGGCGAACGGGUGAGUAACACGUGAGUAACCUGCCCCUGACUCUGGGAUAAGCGUUGGAAACGACGUCUAAUACUGGAUAUGAUCACUGGCCGCAUGGUCUGGUGGUGGAAAGAUUUUUUGGUUGGGGAUGGACUCGCGGCCUAUCAGCUUGUUGGUGAGGUAAUGGCUCACCAAGGCGACGACGGGUAGCCGGCCUGAGAGGGUGACCGGCCACACUGGGACUGAGACACGGCCCAGACUCCUACGGGAGGCAGCAGUGGGGAAUAUUGCACAAUGGGCGAAAGCCUGAUGCAGCAACGCCGCGUGAGGGAUGACGGCCUUCGGGUUGUAAACCUCUUUUAGUAGGGAAGAAGCGCAAGUGACGGUACCUGCAGAAAAAGCACCGGCUAACUACGUGCCAGCAGCCGCGGUAAUACGUAGGGUGCAAGCGUUGUCCGGAAUUAUUGGGCGUAAAGAGCUCGUAGGCGGUUUGUCGCGUCUGCUGUGAAAUCCCGAGGCUCAACCUCGGGCUUGCAGUGGGUACGGGCAGACUAGAGUGCGGUAGGGGAGAUUGGAAUUCCUGGUGUAGCGGUGGAAUGCGCAGAUAUCAGGAGGAACACCGAUGGCGAAGGCAGAUCUCUGGGCCGUAACUGACGCUGAGGAGCGAAAGCGUGGGGAGCGAACAGGAUUAGAUACCCUGGUAGUCCACGCCGUAAACGUUGGGCGCUAGAUGUAGGGACCUUUCCACGGUUUCUGUGUCGUAGCUAACGCAUUA